UACGGGGGGGGCAAGCGUUGUUCGGAAUUACUGGGCGUAAAGGGUUCGUAGGUGGCCAACUAAGUCAUACGUGAAAUCCCUCAGCUUAACUGGGGAACUGCGUCUGAUACUGGUUGGCUUGAGUGCAGGAGAGGAACGCGGAAUUCAUGGUGUAGCAGUGAAAUGCGUAGAGAUCAUGAGGAAGACCAGUGGCGAAGGCGGGUCUCUGGACAGUUCCUGACACUGAGGCACGAAGGCCAGGGGAGCAAACGGG
Molecule: ribosomal RNA, 253 nt
Filed under: uncultured bacterium
Lineage: Bacteria
Description: partial 16S ribosomal RNA
Rfam family: Bacterial small subunit ribosomal RNA
Source: RNAcentral